GUGCAGCAGCACAUAUGCUAAAACUGGAAUGAUACAGAGAUUAGCAUGGCCCCUGCACAAAGAUAACAUGCAAAUUCAAGCAGCAUUUCACAUUUGC
Tupaia belangeri (northern tree shrew) is the source of this 97-nucleotide small nuclear RNA. Lineage: Eukaryota; Metazoa; Chordata; Mammalia; Scandentia; Tupaiidae. The record is from Ensembl.